This 558-nucleotide ribosomal RNA is filed under the name uncultured bacterium. Its description in RNAcentral is "partial 16S ribosomal RNA". It matches the Rfam family "Bacterial small subunit ribosomal RNA", at positions 355 to 932 of the family's 1533-position model. The record is from RNAcentral.
UGGGGAAUAUUGCACAAUGGGCGAAAGCCUGAUGCAGCAACGCCGCGUGAGUGAUGAAGGCCUUCGGGUUGUAAAGCUCUGUCUUUUGGGACGAUAAUGACGGUACCAAAGGAGGAAGCCACGGCUAACUACGUGCCAGCAGCCGCGGUAAUACGUAGGUGGCAAGCGUUGUCCGGAUUUACUGGGCGUAAAGGAUGCGUAGGCGGAUUUUUAAGUGAGAUGUGAAAACCCUAAGCUUAACUUGGGGACUGCAUUUCAUACUGGAAAUCUAGAGUGCGGGAGAGGAGAAUGGAAUUCCUAGUGUAGCGGUGAAAUGCGUAGAGAUUAGGAAGAACACCAGUGGCGAAGGCGAUUCUCUGGACCGUAACUGACGCUGAGGCAUGAAAAGCGUGGGUAGCAAACAGGAUUAGAUACCCUGGUAGUCCACGCCGUAAACGAUGAGUACUAGGUGUAGGAGGUAUCGACCCCUUCUGUGCCGCAGUUAACACAAUAAGUACUCCGCCUGGGAAGUACGAUCGCAAGAUUAAAAACUCAAAGGAAUUGACGGGGUCAUAGCUG